Salvia splendens (bonfire salvia) is the source of this 455-nucleotide long non-coding RNA. RefSeq lists it as uncharacterized. NCBI's taxonomy places the organism in Eukaryota, Viridiplantae, Streptophyta, Magnoliopsida, Lamiales, Lamiaceae. The record is from RefSeq and is a predicted model, not a curated record. The transcript has 2 exons.
CCCUUUAUUGAUCCUCAAUGCCUCCUUUUUUCAUGGCUGUAAUAUGGCUCCAGAAGGAUACCUAGUACUUGGUUAAUAAUUGAAAUUGUUUGAUUGUGGCAAGUACAAACAAGGAUGCAGGAUUUGACUUGCUCCUUUGGUGAGAGAAAUGGCUUGGCUGUCAUGCUGCUAUUCGAGGAGGCCUGGGCUUGCUGCCCUGCUGCUGUUCGAGGAGGCCUGGGCUGCUGCCCUGGGCCCGACGGGCCGCUCGGAUGGGCCGUGACUUGGGCUUGGGAAAGGAGGCCCAAGGUGCAAGCAAUAUAAGAUUUUGUUUCUUAAGUUCUUUUUGGCCCAUUCGUAACAUUUUGUAAUAGCAUCCAUUAUUCUUUUCUCGAACUUAGUCAUAUAAUUAAAUGUAUUGAUUGUGGUGAAUGCGAACACCGUGGUUUCGGAAAUGAGGUCCUCAUUUUUAUUCA